AUCUUUUUCUCCUCCUCUUCAUCUUUUUUCAAUCACAAUCAUUUACAUGGCAUCAACUCAACUUCAUAUGUAUAAUAAUUAAAAAGGUAACAAUAACUGAAUAACAAACCAAAGAUAAAAAAAUAAAAUAUAUAUUUCUAAACUAUAUUUACUUUUUGAGUUUAAAAUUAUGUAUUCAUUAAGCUUACAAUCAUCUCUUAAUUCAAAUGCAAGAAAAAGUAUUGUUCUUAAAAAUAAAAGGUUAGAGAUGGCUUGUGGCUAAUAAACCACCUUUCAUGGGGUAACAGAGUACAACAAAAAGACAAUUAUCCCUAGUCAUUUCUGUAGACAAUAAGUUUUUUUUUCUGUGGUUUAAAAGAUUUUAAGAGUCAUUUUGUUGUAUUAUUAACUCUUUUAUUUGUUCGUUAACCAUAUAUCAAACAGCGUAUUUAACUCAAGUGAUAAUAUCAGAGCAAAAGAUUGAGGAAGCUAACCAGUAACACCGGCAAAACGGAGA
Arabidopsis thaliana (thale cress) is the source of this 496-nucleotide long non-coding RNA. RefSeq annotates it as other RNA. The record is from RefSeq. Lineage: Eukaryota; Viridiplantae; Streptophyta; Magnoliopsida; Brassicales; Brassicaceae. The transcript has a single exon.